CACGUAGUUAGCCGGGGCUUCUUGGUCAGGUACCGUCAUUUUCUUCCCUGCUGAUAGAGCUUUACAUACCGAAAUACUUCUUCACUCACGCGGCGUCGCUGCAUCAGGGUUUCCCCCAUUGUGCAAUAUUCCCCACUGCUGCCUCCCGUAGGAGUUUGGGCAGUGUCUCAGUCCCAAUGUGGCCGUUCACCCUCUCAGGCCGGCUACUGAUCGUCGCUUUGGUAGGCCGUUACCCUGCCAACUGGCUAAUCAGACGCGGGUCCAUCUCACACCGAUAAAUCUUUCCGUCAGUAUCAUGCGAUACCAGCGGGUUAUGCGGUAUUAGCGGUCGUUUCCAACUGUUAUCCCCCUGUGUGAGGCAGGUUACCCACGCGUUACUCACCCGUCCGCCACUCAGUCACAAAAGACUUCAUCCGAAGAAUCGUUCUUAAGCGCUUCGUUCGACUUGCAUGUGUUAAGCACGCCGCCAGCGUUCAUCCUGAGCCAGGAUCAAACUCU
RNAcentral lists this ribosomal RNA (498 nucleotides) under uncultured Lachnospiraceae bacterium. Its description in RNAcentral is "partial 16S ribosomal RNA". Lineage: Bacteria; Bacillati; Bacillota; Clostridia; Lachnospirales; Lachnospiraceae. The record is from RNAcentral.